GGGGAUGAACUGAUUUCGACGUGCUGACGGAUGAUCGAAGCUGCGUGCCGCGGCGCCCGAGGCCGCGUUAACAACGGGUAACACUACUUAUCUGCCGAAGAAACACCGGCACGUAUGGCUGCCUAAACGCAGCCAUCCCCGACUCGCUGAUGCCGCGAUCAGCGAUAGGGCCAUGCGUAGCGGCUGGCACACACAGUGAUUACUGGCGAUGAUGGGUGUGCGAGAACAAGUGUUGUCUGCGGCUAGGUGCUGCUUGCCGGCUCACUGGCCUAGCUCAAGUGGAGAACCGGACACGCACGUGGACGAAGCCCGAUCUGAAAUCUGCGCGGACGCGGGUUUGACUCCCGCCAUCUCCACCA
RNAcentral lists this transfer-messenger RNA (359 nucleotides) under Thermoprotei archaeon. It matches the Rfam family "transfer-messenger RNA". From Rfam's summary of the family: Bacterial tmRNA, also known as 10Sa RNA or SsrA, is named for its dual tRNA and mRNA-like properties. Lineage: Archaea; Thermoproteati; Thermoproteota; Thermoprotei. The record is from RNAcentral.